ACCCAAUAUCAAUAUCAGGAUUAGUUUUACAAAACUACCUGCACAAGCGAUUUGAUAAGGUAAUCCUCUUCAAUUACUGGCCGCUCACGGAGUCAUCCGAAGUUCAGCGAGGUCCUCCCCGUCAUGUGACUCCUUGGGCAGCGUUGGACCCCCGGACCCUCUCCAAUUACUGUGUUGCCCAGUUAGUCAUCCAACGGCUGGAAGAACUCGGACAUGCAUCUGAAGUUGAGAUUCUGAACACAUUGCGCGCAACCCAGGUCCCCCACUCGUUGGACGGCUAAUUGGGUGGCCAAAUAAGUGGAGAGGACCUUGAAGCUGUGAAAGCAAGGGAUUCGUUGUGAUUGGAAAUCAGAGCCACCGCCAAGAUGCUUGUGAGUGGGAUCGAGAAGAUCUCUGGGAAGUUUGCUUUUCGAGAGGCGGGAUAUCUUUAGAGCAAAUCGUUGCUUAUGAAUUGUUCGAUGAAAUGCUGAAAAGGAAUGUGAGAACUCUAAAAUCAAGAAUGCAUUUCAGUGGAACAUGAAUCCCAAAGAAUGUUCUCACUCUCAGGUAAAAAUGCUCUCUGCUUUAUGAGAAUGCAUAGCGUGCCAUGUGCAUUCCAAACAUAGCCCAAAAUUGCAAGUGUUCUUAGACAUUGUGGUUGGGAAGUGUUUUCUGCUUAACUUCCAUUAUAUCUAUGAAGUAUUCUCUGAAGUUAGCUUUUUCUAUUUUCAUUUAUUAUAUUUUAGUUUCAAUAUAGGUUGAUUCGUCAUUAGUCUUCUGUGCAUGACUCUGUGUUUCAUUUCUUUGUAACUAUAUAUAAAAUCUCGAGCUGUUAGAUAUGAGUGUUAAGAAUAUUGCAGUUUUGUUAUGGGGAAAAAAAAAAGAAAAGAAGAAGAUAGAAGUUUUCCAAAUUGGGAAUUCCUAGAGUAAGGAAUCCAAAAUUUAUAAACCAAGAACAUUUCUGUUCAUGUCUGUUAUAAAGAUAGUAGAGCAAAAUAUCUAUCUCAGACUCUCAUGAAAAUUUUCCUCUAUUAACAGGGUCAAUAAUAGAUUACCUAAAACAAAGAUGUAAUUAUAUUCACUAUGGUCUAGUUCAAAUUGCCAUAACCUUAAAAAGAAAAGGAUUAACUGAGGAAGUCCUAGGUAGCUUGAGACAAGAGGCUUAAAGAUCCUUCAAACCAACCUUUAGGAAUAAUACUAUAAUAGAAGCUAGUUUAAAUGAAGCAGUUGUGUUCUUUAAUAGGUUUCCAAAUUUUUCUGUAACCGUCACCGAUCCGACAAUGUUGAACUCUAUGGUUCUUACUUUAACCACUUUGCACAUCUUAUUGUCAAAAGUGAUUCUCAAGCUCUUAUUAGUUUAAUUAACAACAAAGACAAAUCCUUAUGGAUGUGCCAGCAUUGGUGGAGUGAAGAAAAUUUUUUUCCCAUUUAAAACUUGAAUUUCAUCAUGAAUAUAGUUUUUUUUGUGGGGGACUAGGGAGGGAACAUCUCAAGUCUGUGGUAGUGCAUGCCUUAAGAAGGCUAGUCUGGGCUUAAAAAAAAAAAGGAAAAAAGAAGAAGGAGAAAAAGAAAACUUUCAAUAUUGAUCCACAAAUUCAAAAUUAAAGUCUUGUGUGUUUGCAUGGUCUUGGAAGAAGCACUAAUGGAGGAUAUUAGUUGAUGCUUAAUUUGAAACUUGUUUCACAGUGGUAUCUUUCUCUCCAUAUUAUUUUCAGCCAAUCAUAAUUGAGAGCCUGAUGGUUGUAACCGAUAGAGGAAGUGGCGGAUAUUCAAGCAAAACCCCUAAAGUGAAAAGAGAACCAUAGGCUACAGUUGAACAUAUCUUUUGAUAAUCAUAAAUCUGAUACUAGAAGAAACAAGACAUCAUGGAUUUCCACUCUGAUUAGAAUGUACAGUUAUCACUCAUACAGAAUUAAAGAUGGAGAUGAUUUGUUGGUUCUGGGAGGAAAAAAUUCUGAUCUGAGGUUUAAACUUCUAAAAGUGCUUGGUGGCAUUAUUGUAGCUUGGUCUUUCAGUUCUUGAGCAGUAGUGAUGGUUGGUUUUGUGACUAUUGCCUAUAGAACAUUUAGCAUUGUAUUAGAGUUCUCUUUUUAUAUUCCAAAUGUCCAGUAUUAAUUUAUUAUUCAAA
Molecule: long non-coding RNA, 2107 nt
Organism: Macadamia integrifolia
Lineage: Eukaryota; Viridiplantae; Streptophyta; Magnoliopsida; Proteales; Proteaceae
Exons: 2
Source: RefSeq, a predicted model, not a curated record